CAUGCACCACCAUGCCCAGCAAGAAAGCAAUUUUAAAAAGAACUCAUGCAAAAAUCUCAGAAUAAGUGGUCACUGCGAACAAGGUGACAUUCGCCUGGUUAUUGGACUUGUAUUGUCUAUGUAAAAGGAAACAUGAUCGCCAUGGGGACUCCUCAGCCUUGUCCUCUUCGGGCAUGGCUCAGUAUAGAAGAGUUUCUGGGUGCUCUAGAAAAAUGAAAAUGUUUGCAUUUGCAUCACAGAGAAGAGACUGGCUCAGCCAUAGACGUUCCCGCAAGAGGACUGUGGUCAAAGCUAAGGCCCGCAGGUAAAGCUUGCAGCCACUGGGCCGGAGGUGUGGCAGCUGAACCGGGGGCACCCAACAUCCGGCACAGUCCUGAGAACUCAGUCAGGACUCGGGGGUGUUUGCUGAAUUACGUAGGUAAAUACAAUAUCAAAUAUGAAAUAACUAAAACGAAUAAGGCCAAUACAUGAAAUCAAGGCAACAUUUUCAUUUCCGCGUAUGGGUUAUUUCCGGUUAUUUCCACAAGGAAAUUUGGAACAAGGAGAACAACGUAUGCUGCGGCCCUGGUGGGUGAGCUGAGACGCAGCGCGGCAACGCCUGUCCUCCGGAGUGGAUGCAGGUGGAGAGGAGGAGAUGGUCCCCAGUCCUGAUACAGUGUCAUAACGUGUGCUGUGGACCAGCUGGGAAGGCAGGGUACGUGGCCCAACCCUACAUGUGGAAGAUACGUGGUAGAACCAGGAUGAUGGAUUGAAAGGAACAUCUAGAACAGGGAAGAAACUCCCACAAACACUUCAGUUUAUGCUGGUGGAGGAGGAACAGGAAUAUGGGUAUGACUCACAAUCACUGCACCUAGGGAGAGCAAAAGCCCAUUUGUGCAUUCACCACUUGGCAGAUGAAUGGCAAGGUGUGUACAGGAAAUCCAAAGCAGAAACAGUGCACAUUGUACAAACUCCUGACAAAACAAGAAGACAAGAGAUGACAAAAAUAGCCUGCCACAUAGGAAAGGAAGCCUAAGCACAUGUGCCAUCAGUGUGAGACAUGUGCAUGGAGUGUGCAGUUGUCAUGUGUGAAGACUGCCCUUGGGUGUGGCAACUGAAGCAAAGUUUAUUUUUGUUGUAGAGUUUUGUUAGUAUUCUCAUUGCUGUUCAUAUAGAAAUUGAUUUCUGUUGUUAUUUUUUAGAUGUUAUACACCAAACGUAAAUGUUGAAA
Long non-coding RNA from Chinchilla lanigera (long-tailed chinchilla), 1210 nucleotides. RefSeq lists it as uncharacterized. The record is from RefSeq and is a predicted model, not a curated record. The transcript is spliced from 4 exons. NCBI's taxonomy places the organism in Eukaryota, Metazoa, Chordata, Mammalia, Rodentia, Chinchillidae.